Molecule: ribosomal RNA, 443 nt
Filed under: uncultured bacterium
Lineage: Bacteria
Description: bacterial SSU rRNA
Rfam family: Bacterial small subunit ribosomal RNA
Source: RNAcentral
AACGCGAAGAACCUUACCUGGGCUCGAACGGCUUUGGAACAUCUUUGGAAACAGAGACUUCUCGCAAGAGACCGGAGUCGAGGUGCUGCAUGGCUGUCGUCAGCUCGUGUCGUGAGAUGUUGGGUUAAGUCCCGCAACGAGCGCAACCCUUGUCCUGUGUUGCCACUCCCGUAAGGGAAGCACUCUCAGGAGACCGCCAGCGAUAAGUUGGAGGAAGGUGGGGAUGAUGUCAAGUCAUCAUGGCCUUUAUGUCCAGGGCUACACACGUGCUACAAUGGACGGUACAAAGCGCUGCAAACCCGCGAGGGGGAGCCAAUCGCAAAAAACCGUUCUCAGUUCGGAUCGCAGGCUGCAACUCGCCUGCGUGAAGCUGGAAUCGCUAGUAAUGGCGUAUCAGAACGAUGCCGUGAAUACGUUCCCGGGCCUUGUACACACCGUAGUAC